AGUUGAUCCUGGCUCAGGAUGAACGCUGGCGGUGUGCCUUAAGCAUGCAAGUCGAACGGGUUUAGUAGCAAUACUAGACCAGUGGCGGACGGGUGAGUAUAACGUAGGAAUCUACCUUAAAGUGUGGAAUAGCCCCGCGAAAGCGGGGGUAAUACCGCAUGUGAUCCGGCGUAAGCCGGAUUAAAGGCCAUAACUGGCCGCUUUAAGAGGAGCCUGCGCCCUAUCAGCUAGUUGGCGGGGUAAUAGCCCACCAAGGCGAUGACAGGUAGGGGGUGUGAGAGCAUGACCCCCCACAAGGUCACUGAGACACGGGACCUACACCUACGGGUGGCAGCAACUGGGAAUCUUGCGCAAUGGACGAAAGUCUGACGCAGCGACACCGCGUGUGGGAUGAAGUAUUUCGGUAUGUAAACCACUGUGGCGAGGGAUAAAGAUCUGAUAGUACCUCGCUAGAAAGCAUCUGCUAACUACGUGCCAGAAGCCUCGGCAAUGCGUGGGAUGCAAGCGUUAUCCGGAUUUACUGGGCGUAAAGGGUUUCGCAGGCGGAUUGUUAAGUCUAGUCUUAAAUACUGAGGCUCAACCUCAGCUACAGGAUUGGAUACUAGCAGUCUUGAGGAUAUCAGGG
RNAcentral lists this ribosomal RNA (625 nucleotides) under uncultured bacterium. Its description in RNAcentral is "bacterial SSU rRNA". It matches the Rfam family "Bacterial small subunit ribosomal RNA", at positions 10 to 656 of the family's 1533-position model. The record is from RNAcentral.